Molecule: ribosomal RNA, 429 nt
Filed under: Bayardella johni
Lineage: Eukaryota; Metazoa; Mollusca; Gastropoda; Planorbidae
Description: partial large subunit ribosomal RNA
Rfam family: Bacterial large subunit ribosomal RNA
Source: RNAcentral
AGUUUAAAGUUACCUUUUUAAAUGAAUCCUGCCCAGUGUUUAUUAAUAAAUGGCCGCAGUACCCUGACUGUGCUAAGGUAGCAUAAUCAAUUGGCUUCUAAUUAGAGUCUGGAAUGAAUGGAGAAAUGAAGUAAUUCUGUCUUGAGAAUAUUUUUUUGAAUUUAAUUAAUAGGUGAAAAUGCCUAUUUUUAGAAAAAAGACGAGAAGACCCUUAGAAUUUUUAUUAUAAGAUUUUUUUUCUACUAUUUUUGUUGGGGCGACAAUUAAGCAUUUAAACCUUAAAUUAUUAUAAAACGAAAUUGUUAUAGAAGAAAAAGUUACCUUAGGGAUAACAGCAUUAUUUUAUAAAGUUUGUGACCUCGAUGUUGGACUAGGAACUUUAUGGCUAGCAGUCUAAAAAGAUUUGUUCUGUUCGAACAAUAAAAUCCU